This 277-nucleotide ribosomal RNA is filed under the name uncultured bacterium. Its description in RNAcentral is "partial 16S ribosomal RNA". It matches the Rfam family "Bacterial small subunit ribosomal RNA", at positions 28 to 297 of the family's 1533-position model. The record is from RNAcentral.
GAUAAACGCUGGCGGCGUGCCUAACACAUGCAAGUCGAACGUCCUCUCUUCGCAAGGAGAGAGGGAGUGGCGGACGGGUGAGUAGCACAUGGGAACCUACCUCUAGGUGAGGGAUACCGGCGAGAAAUCGCCGACAAGCCCGCAUAGCUUCGCCUCGCAAGAGGAGAAGAAAGCUCGACCUCGCAAGAGGGAGGGCGCCUGGGGAUGGGCCUGUGGCCGAUUAGCUGGCUGGUGGGGUAACGGCCUACCAGGGCGACGAUCGGUAGCUGGUCUGAGA